UACGGAGGGUGCAAGCGUUGUUCGGAAUCAUUGGGCGUAAAGCGCGUGUAGGCGGCCAAAUAAGUCUGGUGUGAAAGCCCGGGGCUUAACCUCGGAAGUGCACUGGAUACUGUUUGGCUAGAGGACGAGAGAGGGAAGUGGAAUUCCUGGUGUAGGGGUGAAAUCCGUAGAUAUCAGGAGGAACAUCGGUGGCGAAGGCGACUUCCUGGCUCGUUUCUGACGCUCAGACGCGAAAGCGUGGGGAGCAAACAGG
RNAcentral lists this ribosomal RNA (253 nucleotides) under uncultured bacterium. RNAcentral describes it as "partial 16S ribosomal RNA". It matches the Rfam family "Bacterial small subunit ribosomal RNA", at positions 524 to 776 of the family's 1533-position model. The record is from RNAcentral.